ACCUCUGCAAUAGGCGAAAGCCUGACAGGGUUACUCUGAGUGAUUUCCGUUAAGGAGGUCUUUUGGCACCUCUAAAAAUGGUGCAGAAUAAGGGGUGGGCAAGUCUGGUGUCAGCCGCCGCGGUAAUACCAGCACCCCGAGUGGUCGGGACGUUUAUUGGGCCUAAAGCAUCCGUAGCCGGUUCUGCAAGUCUUCCGUUAAAUCCACCUGCUUAACAGAUGGGCCGCGGAAGAUACUAUAGAGCUAGGAGGCGGGAGAGGCAAGCGGUACUCGAUGGGUAGGGGUAAAAUCCGUUGAUCCAUUGAAGACCACCAGUGGCGAAGGCGGCUUGCCAGAACGCGCUCGACGGUGAGGGAUGAAAGCUGGGGGAGCAAACCGGAUUAGAUACCCGGGUAGUCCCAGCUGUAAACGAUGCAGACUCGGUGAUGAAUUGGCUUCAUGCCAAUUCAGUGCCGCAGGGAAGCCGUUAAGUUUGCCGCCUGGGGAGUACGGUCGCAAGACUGAAACUUAA
This 511-nucleotide ribosomal RNA is filed under the name uncultured archaeon. Its description in RNAcentral is "bacterial SSU rRNA". It matches the Rfam family "Archaeal small subunit ribosomal RNA", at positions 346 to 859 of the family's 1478-position model. The record is from RNAcentral.